GUCCUACUUUACGCAUGCGCAGUGAUUGGUUCGCUCUUAACUUUGGAAGCAGUGAGUUCAUCUCUUGCUUCCUUCUGCGCUGUUUUGGAGAUUAUUUCACAGUCUGUUCACUAUAAGCGGACAUAUUUUAACCUCUGCUCAGAACCGAAACCGACACCGAAGUGAAAGAUGGACGGAGAGAAGAACUUUAUCUCUGGAGGACGCUCGGAUGACGACGGUGGGAUUCCAGUGCAGGACGAACAUCCUGCGUCUGACAGCGCUGGGCGUCAGUCAGAGGAUCAACGUGUGUGUGUGUCUGCAGCGAAGAGGAAGAAGUUCCUGUCUGACAGCGAGGAUGAGGAGGAGGAUGAAGAAAAGCCUGGUGAGACAUCACACGUUUGUACCAAUCAGACGUUACACACAUAUAUACUGUAUAUACACACACACACACACACACACACAUACUGUAUAUAUAAACACACAGACACACACACACACACACAUAUACUGUAUAUAUAAACACACACAUAUACACACAUAUACACACACAUAUACUGUAUAUAUAAACACACACACACAUAUACGCACACACACAUACUGUGUAUAUAUAAACACACACACACACACAUACUAUAUAUACACACACACACAUCAC
RNAcentral lists this long non-coding RNA (634 nucleotides) under Gouania willdenowi (blunt-snouted clingfish). Its description in RNAcentral is "lncRNA (ENSGWIG00000012975.1)". The record is from RNAcentral. Lineage: Eukaryota; Metazoa; Chordata; Actinopteri; Blenniiformes; Gobiesocidae.